Antechinus flavipes (yellow-footed antechinus) is the source of this 6247-nucleotide RNA transcript. It is a transcript of the gene named WT1 interacting protein, with no coding region annotated. The record is from RefSeq and is a predicted model, not a curated record. The transcript has 9 exons. Lineage: Eukaryota; Metazoa; Chordata; Mammalia; Dasyuromorphia; Dasyuridae.
GCAUGGCCUGUCCCAGAGAAAAGAAGUUGACACUGGCCGGUGUGCUAGCUCCCAACCCGUUCCCGUCUUGUUGCAACUUCCAGAGAGUCACCUCCUUAGAGCAGUUUUCACAUUCCAGAGCCGCAGUGCCUCGUUUUUAUUCCUCUCAUUCCUGCCCCCACCAAAGGAGUCCCUCCUCUUUCCGGACGCAACUGAGCCCUGAGACCUCACGGAAGGAGAGAGGCGGGAGAGGAAGGGGCGGAGGUAGACAGCUAGGACCAAACCCGGGAGUCCAAAUUCCUCCGCGUCGCGCGCUGGCCCCUGCGCUGAGACCGCGCCUCUCCCGCGGGGUCGGGCUCCGGGGACCCCGAACUCCGUGGCCCCUACCUGAUUCCGAAGGGCCCCGGGGCCGGAUGGGCUCCGAGGCCCGGACGAUGCAGCCGCCGCUGCCUCUCGGUCUCAGCGUCAGCCUUAGCCUCAGCCAAGGCGGGAGGAGGCGGCGGCUGCGGAGGUGACGACUCGGCGCCGCAGUCCGGCCGGAGCCCCCGCCCGGGAGGAGCUGGAGCCGGAGCCUUGUUGGCCCAGGGCGGGGCGGCUCCAGGGACCGGGCCAGGGUCGGGCCAUGCAGCGCUCGCAGGCGGACGCGGUCGCUUUGCUUCGCGCCAGUAGGCUACUGGCCGAUUUGUCGCUGGCCGAACCAGGUUCAGACGGCUGGUGCCGGGGGCGGCCAGGACAGCGGCCUGCGCCCCUGGAGGAGACGGCCCCUGCUCGUUCCUGGAGGUUAGACGGUGGUGGCUGCUCGGAGCCUGGAGGCUGCCUAGAGCGCGGUCAGUGGCGGGCCGCCUACGAGGGCCACGGUGCCCGCCUGGCAACCCCCUCUUUGGAGCCCAGCGCCAAGGCCGCAAGCAGUUCACGCGGGGCCAGUCUGGCAGAUUCCGAGGGCUAUGAGAGCCGACCCUGCAGCGCUCGCACCAGCGGUAUCAGCCUCGGCUACGACCAGAGAAACAGCAGCCCGCGCUCCAGCUGCUCCGACCCCCGGGGUCCGGGGCCACUUGAGCAGCUCCAAGACGCUGCGAAUCCGGGGCUGGCCCGGCUCGGGGCCGCCCCCACCCGCCGCCCCUCCUGGAGCGGAGGCCUUGGAGUCGGCAGCAGCGCCCGCUCCAGCGUUUCUAGCCUGAGCUCCCGGGGCUCGGCGGGUGCCCAUGCCGACCUACUGCUGCCUCCCGCCCCACCGCCUUCAGGUUCGGCCGGCCUUGCCCAUCCCGUGGCCGGAGUCCGGCUUCAGCUGCCCUUCCAGGUGACCGCGGGACGGGAGAGUGGUCCCAGCCCCGCGGAGCGAAGGCUUGAGGCACUGACUCUGGAGCUGGAGAGGGAGCUGGAUCUAAGAGCAAAGGAGGAGUAUUUUGGAGUUUGUAUAAAGUGCAGAUCAGGCAUCUACGGUGCAAGUCAAGCCUGCCAGGCAAUGGGGAGCCUUUACCACACCAACUGCUUCACUUGCUAUUCUUGUGGGAGAAGACUCCGGGGAAAGGCCUUCUACAAUGUGGCUGGGAAAGUCUACUGUGAGGAGGACUUCCUGUACUCAGGGUUUCAGCAGACGGCCGACAAGUGCUUUGUGUGCGGACACCUCAUCAUGGAGAUGAUUCUUCAGGCCCUUGGGAAGUCCUACCACCCCGGCUGUUUCCGAUGUGUUGUAUGUAAUGAGUGCUUGGAUGGCGUCCCUUUCACCGUGGAUGUCGAGAACAAUAUUUACUGUGUCAAAGAUUAUCACACGGUUUUUGCACCUAAAUGUGCCUCAUGUACCCGACCCAUCCUUCCUGCGAAGGGCUGUGAAGAGACUAUUCGGGUGGUAUCAAUGGAUAGAGAUUAUCAUGUGGAAUGCUAUCAUUGUGAGGAUUGUGGGCUCCGUCUGAAUGAUCAAGAAGGCCGCCGCUGCUAUCCCCUGGAAGGCCACCUGCUGUGUCGAAGCUGCCACAUGGGACGCCUGUCUACCCCAGCCCUGACCAACUAUACUAUGCAUAUGACGGAGCUCUGAAGGACUCCCUGAUGGAUCAGAGCUCAGGCCCAGGAUUAGGGGAGUUUUUUCAGUUCCUUAACCAGGUGCUUCAUUGGACAAAGUGAGCAUUCUUGGAACCUGUUGAAGAACUAUGUGGAAGUCUCUAACAGCAAAGUGUUUGGAGGAUGUGCCCCCAGACAGACUUGGCUCCAGCAAGAAAAUUGCUAAGAGCAAAUCCACAUCUCCAAAGGGAGUGUCAGCUUGUGAAACAUGAAGAGACAUGGACUUGGUUUGCUGAAGUAUUGAAGAACUAUAAAUUGUCCUCUUGAAGAUGUGCCCAGUGAAGGUUGGAGGACCUGUAAGAAUGGAGGUUCUGAGGGUACAGUGGGGAAGGCAGUGUUCCUUUACCUCUGCUGGAUUUUAUCAAACUGACUGGUGAUGCUAAGGGCUAGAAAUCGAGCCAGCAGGGGUAGGGUUACCUUCUGGGCUUAUUCUAGGAGUCUGAGCUUGCAAGGAUAAAGGAAUCUCCGGAUCUCAGAAUUUCUAAGCAUCACAGAAGCUAUUUAGGCCAAACCAUACCUGAAGAAGAAUCUUCAAUACAAUAUAACAGUAAUUCAGUCUUUGCUUUCUCAAACUCUUGGAAAAAUGGAAGUCAAAAGGUUUGAUACUCAGAAUCCAUAGUCACAUGGAGAGACAGUGUGGGCCUGUGCUACUGAAAUGGUAAGGUCUAGCAACUGAGGCAUUCCAAAAGGUGCCUGAGGACCCAGGAGUAAGGAGGGAAGAUGUGAACUGUGGAGGAGCUGCAGAGACUGGCUGGCCAUAUGAGCAGGAUCCAAAUGUUGGUUAAAGAAGCUAGCCAAAUAUCAGUUUGGCUCCUCUCUGGAGGAAAGUCACCACUCCCAGAGUAAGCCCUUGUGGAUUGCUCUGUGCCAAGAAAUUUUUCCUUGCAGGCGACCUAAAUUUGUCUCUGGGACUUCCACCCAUUGUUUCUGACUCAGUUCUCUAGGGACAAGUGGAACAAAUCGAAUCCCUUUUUGACACACAAAGGUUAUUGCUUACACUGAGUUUAUUUAAUAUGUAUCUGUCAACUUGAGCCCUAUGUGUAUGUGUGUAAUGUUUUUUUGUGCUGCACACAUGCUUGAAAACAGCCAUCAUGUCCUCACUGAAUCUUUUCUACAGAUUAAACAUUUGCACCUCCUUUUAUUCAUGCUCAAAUGGCACAAUCCUAAAAUCCUUCACCUAUUUGCCCUUUUUUGCAUAUCUGUUGGGCCCAUCUGAAAUGUGAUAUUCAGAAAUGGACACAAUACUGAUGUGGUCUGGUCAGGGCAGAGUCUAAUGGUAUAAUCAACUUCCUAGGGCUGGAUUUUAUGACUUUCUUUUUUUGUUUUCUAGUAAAUUUGUUUUUAAUAUAUAUUGCUUUGUGAAUCAUGUUGGGAGAGAAAAAUCAGAGCAAAAGGGAAAAACCAUGGGAGAGAUGAAAAGAAAAUCUAUAAAAAAGAAGUGAACAUAGCAUGUAUUGAUUUACAUUCAGUGUCCUUAGUUAUUUUUCUAGAUGCAGAUGGCAUUUUCUGUCCAAAGUCUAUUGGGAUUGCUUUGAAUCACUGAGAAGAACCAAGCCUUUCUUACUUGAUCAUUGCACAUUCUUCUUGUUACUGUGUAUAAUGUAUUUCUGGUUCUGCUUGUUUCAUUCAGCAGCAGUUCAUGUAAAUCUUUCCAGGCCUUUUUAAAAUCAGCUUGUUCAUCAUUUUUUAUAGAACAAUAAUAUUCCAUAACCUUCAUUAAAGUUGCUCAGCCAUUCCCCAAUUGAUGGGCACCUACUCAUUUUCCAAUUCUUUGCUAUCACAAAAAGAGCUGCUAUAAACAUUUUUGCACAUGUGGAUCCUUUCCCCUCCUUUAUGAUUUCCUUGGGAUACAGACCCAGUAAUGGCACUGCUGGGUUAAAGAGUAUGCACAGUUUUACAGUCCUUUGGACAUAGUUCCAAAUUACUCUCCAGAAUGGUUGGAUCAUUUAUGACUCUCUUACGGUGAUUUGUGACUGUUAAUUUUCUUUGCUGUGGUAUAUCAAUGUUGACUCAUAUUCAAUCUACUAAAACCUUAUUAAUUUUUUUUUUAAAGAAAAAUGUUAUCUUGCCAUUCCUCAGAUACUGUGACUUUGGGCAAGGCACUUAAACUUUCUUAGUCUCAGUUUCAUUAUCUAUAUGUUUGUUGUCCUUUCAUUUCAGUUGUGGCUGAUUAGAAUGGUUUUCCAUUUCCUUCUCUAGCCCAUUUUAUAGAUGAGGGAACUGAGGCAAAGAGGUUUAAAUGACUUGUCCGGGGUCAUGCAGCUAGGAAGUGUUUGAGGUUGGAUUUGAACUUGGGUCAGCAUUCUAUCCACUGUGGCACCUUGCUGCCCUACCAUCUAUAUAAUAGAGAUAUAUAUGAUAGGGUUAAUAAUAACUACCUCUCAGCAUUGAAGAUCAAUGUGAUAAUACUUGCAAAGUACUUUGUAAACUUUAUAGCAGUAUGUCUAUGUACAUAUGUAUAUAAAAUAUAAAUGUUAAAAAUAUAAAAUAUUAUUCCUCUCUUAACUUUUAUCUGAGAAUUGAUUUUUUUUGAACCCAUGUAACUUAAUACAUUUAUUGCUAUUAAAUUUUAAAUUAUGGAAUUUCAUUCAAGAUGAAUUUGAAUUUGUCAUUCAAUAUAUUAGCUAUUCCUCCCAGUUUAUCUCCUCACUUGCAAAUUUAAUAAGAAUACAUAUAUUUAUUUAUUUAUUUUUAGCGGGGAAGGCAUUUGCCCAGGAUUACAUAGCUAAUAAGUGUUUGAUGUCAGAUUUGAAUUGUAGGCCCUUCUGACUCUAUACAUUGUACCAUCUAGUUAUAUAUUUAUCAAAGUAACUGAUAAAAAUAUUAAACAUUAGAAGGUCAAAGAUAGUUCCUUGGAGUACUCUACUGGAGAUGUCCUAUGAAAAUGGCAUUAAAAUAUUAACCAAUAUCUUUUGAGCACCAUAAUUCAAUGCCAUCUUUCUGAUUCUCUCUUUCCCUUUUCUACCUUACUCUGUACUGCAUUAUUCUGUCCUAUCCUGCCCUGUUCUAUCUGUCCUAUCCUUUACUGCAUUAUAUAUAUUGUGCUGUACUAUACAAUUUCAUACCAUACUCAUUAAUAUAUCUCCAUACCCACAAAAAUAGGAUGAGGGACAUCAAAUGACAAAAGUUAUGUAAUUUAUAUUCAUAGCCUAAUCUAUAGUCUAGGAAUCCUUGGGACUUGUUUACUCUCUUGGACUCCAAUCAUAUGCCUUACAGAAGCUCAUUUAUCCUGCAGAGAGUGGCUGAUAUGCUGGCAUCUAACUGGGUAAGUGAAUGGGUAAGAGGAGUAGGGAAGUAUUUGGGAGGGGGAGGGUGUAUUAUUUUUAAUCCUUCAGUACCCCUAUUGUUAGGACAGCACACCUGUUAUUGAGGCCGAGGGUAGGUGAUAUGCUCAGCAUCAUACGGCUAAGUAAGUAUCUGAGGCCAGAUUUGAAUUCCAGAAGAUGAGUCCUAAAUAAAUGGCUAUAUGGGUGUUUUUCAGUGGAAUUGACUGUUAUGUAUCAGCUGCCUCUUUCAGGAGUCGUUUGCCUCUUUACGACAUAUUCACUCUGUCCUCCAGGUUCCCUCUGUAACGAGGAAUGAAUGCACCUCAUCCAUCCAUUCCCAAUCUGAAUUGUCUCAGCUAGAGAUUUUCCACACCAAUCUCUGACUUUGUUCUCCAUUACCACUAGGUGGCGGGCCUCACAUAGAAAUGAUACAGAAGCAUUCUCUUGACUCAUCUGCCAGGAGCCAUAAGUUUAAAAGGGAAGUUUCGCUGAAAAAAGGAAGCCUGCUAGGUCAUCCCUAGGACUAAAUGGGACACAUACCCAAGGGCAUAAUUACUUGUAGCAAAGACCUAUUUCUUAAUUCUUGUAAACAAAGUUACACUCAUAAUCAAGUUACAUAAAUAUCACAGGCAAGACAAAGGACAUUUUGUUGAAGAAAUACUGAUUAAACAAUUACUUGGUGUAUACAGAGUAUUUUGCACUUGCAGUUUGAUAAGCUGUAUUCUCUGGCAGUACUCUUCCUAGACAAAAAAGUCUCCCCUAGGUCCUAAGCCUUCAAGGAACUCUGCAUUUUCAACAUUCCCCAUUUGUCAUAGGCACAAAAAAUUUUCGUGUAAAAAUGAAGCAUGCAGACUAUAGCAAAUAAUUAUGAAUGAUCUGCACAACCAAAUGAAUAUUAUUUGUAGGGGAUGCAUUGUAUCAAUCAAUAAACAUGUAUUAAGAACCUA